Molecule: long non-coding RNA, 523 nt
Organism: Uranotaenia lowii
Lineage: Eukaryota; Metazoa; Arthropoda; Insecta; Diptera; Culicidae
Exons: 3
Source: RefSeq, a predicted model, not a curated record
CAUUAAUUUUCUCUUGCUCUCUGGUACUAUGAUGACCUUUUAAUUAAUUAUAUUUUUCGAUUUUGAACAUUUCAGGCAUUUGAAGAGUCAUCCUGUUGCGAAGUCGGUUUCCAAUAGUUUGUUCUUGUUCAGCAGCAUCAGCUGAUAUUUCAUCUGGGAGAAGAUUACUCGAACAAGCUUCAGCACCUUCUUCCGACUGUUCGAUUGCUACGUUCGUGUCCAAAUCUCCUUCAGGAAAAGAAUCCGCUAUCAAAAAUGGCUCCUGUCACUGUGUUGACCUGUGCUCCUGAAUCGAUCAAAAAUCUGCAUGGCAUUCCGGCAACGGUUGCCGUGAUUAAACCAUCAUUCUCGAUAUGCGCAAUCAUGGCGACAUUUUUGAUUGGCGAAAUCGGUACCGUUGAAAUUUUUGAUGCCAUCUACCAAACAGAAUAACACAAUGAUUAAAGUUCAAUCAAGGUUUAUUGUGAGAAAAAAACAUGUUUAACGAUAUGAUACAUGAGAAAUGGAUUUGAACGAACGAAAC